AGUGCGCCACGGUCUCCGGCCGAGGUCCGAGUGAGGGAGCGAGCGAGCUGCGGAUCCCCGGGAGAACGGAGCCGUUCCGCAGGGCCCGACGGAAGAGAGGUGACAACCUGCCGCGGGGCUGAAGCCUGGAGGUCAGCGCUGGGGAGGAAGUCACACCCCGAGCACCACGAUCCCGGACGCACGACCCCCUGGCGGAACGGGUAGCGGUUCCGGAUUGGGAUCCGUGAGGCGCACGCACCCUGCUCGCCGGCGUGUCUGCUCCUUCUGCCUCAGUUUCCCGGGGGCGCCGUUCCACCGUACGCAGCGCGGAGCCAGCCCCAGGUUUUUUUCCAGUUGGAGCGGAAGCCCACCUGCCAGUCCCCGAGCGCUGUCGAUGCCAUCGCCAUCCUCCCUGGAGGUCUGCAGGGAUUGCCCCAUCCCUGUGGUUUUUUACUUUUUCCAGACAAGUUCUCAAGUAGCCCAGGGUGGCUUCCUGACUCUCCGGAGUAGCCGAGGGUAAUCAUAUACUUCUGAUCCCACCUGUACCUCCUGAGACCGGUUUUAAUGUGGUGCUGAGACUCGAACCCAUGGCUUCGCAGAUGCUAGGCAGACGCUCUGCGAGCCGAGCUCCACCCCCAGCCUCUUUGUCACUGCUUCCUCCUGCUCUCCAGUGCUUUCCAGUCAAGCACCUGUUGGGGAUACAGCCCACUCCUAAUCUUCCCCGUAAGAAGCAGUGCUAGUGUUUAAAACAAAACAACAAAAUACAGACGCUUACUGAAAUC
This 761-nucleotide long non-coding RNA is filed under the name Mus caroli (Ryukyu mouse). RNAcentral's name for it is "RIKEN cDNA 1110006O24 gene (MGP_CAROLIEiJ_G0006162.1)". Lineage: Eukaryota; Metazoa; Chordata; Mammalia; Rodentia; Muridae. The record is from RNAcentral.